Molecule: long non-coding RNA, 675 nt
Filed under: Physcomitrium patens
Lineage: Eukaryota; Viridiplantae; Streptophyta; Bryopsida; Funariales; Funariaceae
Description: long non-coding RNA (PPAT_LNC008671)
Source: RNAcentral
AGAGAGAGAAAUGCUUGUGUUGUUGGGCAGAACACUAAUUCCUGUAAGCUCAAUUUAAUCUUCCAAUUAAACAAUUAAAAAAAAAUGUCUUUAAAGCUCUGGUUGUUGUGUAAAGCUAUUUAAGGAAAAAUAAAUUAAAAUAAAAUUCAUCCAUUCUAUUUCUAAAAAUAAUUGUCUAAAUUAAGAAUAUAUUGUUCUGGGCGUAGUUUUUCUUUUCAAAAAAUUGUAAGAAAAAAUAAUCCACGGGUAAUUGUAAGAAAUUAUUGAAAUGAAAUAAGUAGUCAUCAUCUAAAAAAAUGAGGUGCUUAAAUUGCGAAUGUAUAACACAUAAAUAAUAAUAAUAAUAAUAAUAACUAUACCUUAUUAUUAACUUUAAGAAUAAUACUUUGAAUUCAAGUUCAAAAGAGAAAAUAAUUUGAAGAGUAGUUUGAAGAGAUAAUAAUUAGAUCCUGUAUGAGAUUGACAAGAAAUAUCUUUGAUUAAUAAAGUUAACUGAAACUACUUUAAAAUAUCAGACUACUUUUAGUUCACAAAUAUUGUUUUCAUUCCCAAUAGCACAUUUUUUUAUUUUUUAUUCACAUAACUAAAAUGAACAAUUCUUUUUGUAUAACUGUAUAUGUAUAGUCUUAAUGAUCAAAAGAUUACGUUUACUAUAACUUCGGUAUGAAUAAAAAA